Unclassified non-coding RNA from Pongo abelii (Sumatran orangutan), 152 nucleotides. It matches the Rfam family "Metazoan signal recognition particle RNA". Rfam says of the family: The signal recognition particle (SRP) is a universally conserved ribonucleoprotein. It is involved in the co-translational targeting of proteins to membranes. The eukaryotic SRP consists of a 300-nucleotide 7S RNA and six proteins: SRPs 72, 68, 54, 19, 14, and 9. Lineage: Eukaryota; Metazoa; Chordata; Mammalia; Primates; Hominidae. The record is from Ensembl.
GCUGGGUGUGGUGGCGCAGGCCUGUAAUCCCAGCUACUUGGGAGGCUGAGGCAGGAGAAUCACUUGAACCUGGGAGGUAGAGGUUGCAGUGAGCCAAGAUGGAUUGCACCACUGCACUCCAGCCUGGGUGACAAAGUGAGACCCUGUCUCAA